AUUGCUCUGAUUUGCUUAUUGCACCACAUGUGUUUUUUAUUGAACAAAUUUCUUUGGUGGCGGGAGCAAUCCUACCGCCAGAGGUUAUAACUAAACCAAACUUUUUAUUUACAGUCAAACUUGAUUUAUUAUUACAAUAGUCAAAACUUUCAACAACGGAUCUCUUGGUUCUCGCAUCGAUGAAGAACGCAGCGAAAUGCGAUACGUAAUAUGAAUUGCAGAUAUUCGUGAAUCAUCGAAUCUUUGAACGCACAUUGCGCCCUUUGGUAUUCCAAAGGGCAUGCCUGUUUGAGCGUCAUUUCUCCCUCAAACCCCCGGGUUUGGUGUUGAGCAAUACGCUAGGUUUGUUUGAAAGAAUUUAACGUGAAAACUUAUUUUAAGCGACUUAGGUUUAUCCAAAAACGCUUAUUUUGCUAGGGGCCACCACAAUUUAUUUCAUAACUUUGACCUCAAAUCAGGUAGGACUACCCGCUGAACUUAACCAUAUCAAAACCGGAGGAA
Molecule: ribosomal RNA, 501 nt
Filed under: Candida tropicalis
Lineage: Eukaryota; Fungi; Ascomycota; Pichiomycetes; Serinales; Debaryomycetaceae
Description: eukaryotic LSU rRNA
Rfam family: 5.8S ribosomal RNA (bases 145-298)
Source: RNAcentral